GACAGGUGGUGCAUGGUUGUCGUCAGCUCGUGUCGUGAGAUGUUGGGUUAAGUCCCGCAACGAGCGCAACCCCUAUCUUUAGUAGCCAGCAUUUAAGGUGGGCACUCUAGAGAGACUGCCAGGGAUAACCUGGAGGAAGGUGGGGAUGACGUCAAAUCAUCAUGCCCCUUAUGACUAGGGCUACACACGUGCUACAAUGGUGAUAACAAAGUGAAGCAGCCUCGUGAGAGUGAGCAAAUCACAAAAAUGUCAUCUCAGUUCGGAUUGUAGUCUGCAACUCGACUACAUGAAGCUGGAAUCGCUAGUAAUCGCGAAUCAGAAUGUCGCGGUGAAUACGUUCCCGGGUCUUGUACACACCGCCCGUCACACCAUGGGAGUUGGUAAUGCCCGAAGUCAGUGACCCAACCGUAAGGAGGGAGCUGCCGAAGGCAGGAUCAAUAACUGGGGUGAAGUCGUAACAAGGUAGCCGUAUCGGAAGGUGCGGCUGGAUCACCUCCUUU
Molecule: non-coding RNA, 500 nt
Filed under: Anaerosporobacter mobilis DSM 15930
Lineage: Bacteria; Bacillati; Bacillota; Clostridia; Lachnospirales; Lachnospiraceae
Description: Bacterial small subunit ribosomal RNA
Rfam family: Bacterial small subunit ribosomal RNA
Source: Rfam by way of RNAcentral